AUUGAACGCUGGCGGCAUGCCUUACACAUGCAAGUCGAACGGCAGCACGGGAGCAAUCCUGGUGGCGAGUGGCGAACGGGGUGAGUAAUAUAUCGGAACGUGCCCGGUCGUGGGGGAUAACGUAGCGAAAGCUACGCUAAUACCGCAUACGAUCUACGGAUGAAAGCGGGGGGAUCGCAAGACCUCGCGCGAUUGGAGCGGCCGAUAUCAGAUUAGGUAGUUGGUGAGGUAAAGGCUCACCAAGCCGACGAUCUGUAGCUGGUCUGAGAGGACGA
Molecule: ribosomal RNA, 275 nt
Filed under: uncultured bacterium
Lineage: Bacteria
Description: partial 16S ribosomal RNA
Rfam family: Bacterial small subunit ribosomal RNA
Source: RNAcentral